UACGUAGGGGGCAAGCGUUGUCCGGAUUUAUUGGGCGUAAAGAGCUCGUAGGCGGCUCAGUAAGUCAGGUGUGAAACCUCCAGGCUCAACCUGGAGACGCCACCUGAUACUGCUGUGGCUAGAGUCCGGUAGGGGAGCGUGGAAUUCCUGGUGUAGCGGUGAAAUGCGCAGAUAUCAGGAGGAACACCAGCGGCGAAGGCGGCGCUCUGGGCCGGAACUGACGCUGAGGCGCGAAAGCCAGGGGAGCGAACGGG
Molecule: ribosomal RNA, 254 nt
Filed under: uncultured bacterium
Lineage: Bacteria
Description: partial 16S ribosomal RNA
Rfam family: Bacterial small subunit ribosomal RNA
Source: RNAcentral